Molecule: transfer RNA, 80 nt
Filed under: Pseudochloris wilhelmii
Lineage: Eukaryota; Viridiplantae; Chlorophyta; Trebouxiophyceae; Chlorellales; Chlorellaceae
Description: tRNA-Leu
Rfam family: tRNA
About the family: Transfer RNA (tRNA) molecules are approximately 80 nucleotides in length. Their secondary structure includes four short double-helical elements and three loops (D, anti-codon, and T loops). Further hydrogen bonds mediate the characteristic L-shaped molecular structure. tRNAs have two regions of fundamental functional importance: the anti-codon, which is responsible for specific mRNA codon recognition, and the 3' end, to which the tRNAs corresponding amino acid is attached (by aminoacyl-tRNA synthetases). tRNAs cope with the degeneracy of the genetic code in two manners: having more than one tRNA (with a specific anti-codon) for a particular amino acid; and 'wobble' base-pairing, i.e. permitting non-standard base-pairing at the 3rd anti-codon position.
Source: RNAcentral
GCCGCUGUGGUGAAAUGGUAAACACAUAACUUUCAAAAAGUUACGGUAUAUCCAUAUCGGUUCAAGUCCGAUCAGCGGCA